CAGUAGCCGCGGUAAUACGUAGGGCGCAAGCGUUGUCCGGAAUUAUUGGGCGUAAAGAGCUCGUAGGCGGUCUGUCGCGUCUGGUGUGAAAUCCCGAGGCUCAACCUCGGGCUUGCAUCGGGUACGGGCAGACUAGAGUGCGGUAGGGGAGACUGGAAUUCCUGGUGUAGCGGUGGAAUGCGCAGAUAUCAGGAGGAACACCGAUGGCGAAGGCAGGUCUCUGGGCCGCAACUGACGCUGAGGAGCGAAAGCAUGGGGAGCGAACAGGAUUAGAUACCCCCGUAGUCCUGUCUCUUAUACC
Molecule: ribosomal RNA, 301 nt
Filed under: uncultured bacterium
Lineage: Bacteria
Description: partial 16S ribosomal RNA
Rfam family: Bacterial small subunit ribosomal RNA
Source: RNAcentral